RNAcentral lists this ribosomal RNA (1975 nucleotides) under human oral metagenome. RNAcentral describes it as "bacterial LSU rRNA". It matches the Rfam family "Bacterial large subunit ribosomal RNA", at positions 1105 to 2925 of the family's 2925-position model. The record is from RNAcentral.
CUUAGAAGCAGCCAUCCUUGAAAGAGUGCGUAAUAGCUCACUGGUCAAGUGGUUCCGCGCCGACAAUGUAGCGGGGCUUAAGCACACCGCCGACGCCGCGGCAGUCCAUCGUGGUCCUAGCCUGUCCGUUGGGCGGGUUCAGGGGGUGGGCUGGGUAGGGGAGCGUCCCGCGUUGGGUGAAGUCUCGGGGUGACCCGGGGUGGACGGCGUGGGAGUGAGAAUGCAGGCAUGAGUAGCGAGAGGCGGGUGAGAAACCCGUCCGCCGAUUGACUAAGGGUUCCAGGGCCAGGUUGAUCCGCCCUGGGUUAGUCGGGUCCUAAGGCGAGGCCGACGGGCGUAGUCGAUGGACAACGGGUUGAUAUUCCCGUACCGGCGCUUGACCGUUCAAUGUUCGCCGGGGUGAUGCUAACCAUCCCCGAUCCUGUGUGUCUCUUUCGGGAGGCGUGUGGGGGAGGGCGUGGGGUCCGAGCCUGGGUGGGCAAGCGUGGUAACAGGUGUGACGCAGAGUGGUAGUCCAACCGUGUCGUAUGGCUGAGCACGGCUAAGGGUGCAGCCCGUCUCCCAGGUAAAUCCGGGGGGCGUUCGGGUCAGGCCUGAUGGGGACCGUUUGACGGGAAGUGGAUGAUCCUGUGCUGCCGAGAAAAGCAUCGACGUCAGGGCAAGCGCCGCCCGUACCCGAAACCGACACAGGUGGUCAGGUAGAGUAUACCGAGGCGUGCGAGUCAAUCGUGGUUAAGGAACUCGGCAAAAUGCCCCCGUAACUUCGGGAGAAGGGGGGCCCGGGCCUUGAUGUCCCCGUGCGGGGCGGAAGGGGCGCGGGCCGCAGAGUCCAGGGAGAAGCGACUGUUUAUCAAAAACACAGGUGCGUGCUAAGCCGCAAGGCGAUGUAUACGCACUGACGCCUGCCCGGUGCUGGAAGGUUAAGCGGACUGGUCAGCCCUUCGGGGUGAAGCUGGGAAGUUAAGCCCCAGUAAACGGCGGUGGUAACUAUAACCAUCCUAAGGUAGCGAAAUUCCUUGUCGGGUAAGUUCCGACCUGCACGAAUGGCGUAACGACUUCUCCGCUGUCUCGACCACGAACUCGGUGAAAUUGCAGUACGAGUAAAGAUGCUCGUUUCGCGCAGCAGGACGGAAAGACCCCGGGACCUUUACUAUAGCUUGGUAUUGGUGUUCGGUACGGCUUGUGUAGGAUAGGUGGGAGACUGUGAACCGGUCACGCUAGUGGGCGGGGAGUCGUUGGUGAAAUACCACUCUGGCCGUGCUGACCAUCUAACCUCGGUCCGUGAUCCGGGCCAGGGACAGUGCCUGGUGGGUAGUUUAACUGGGGCGGUUGCCUCCUAAAGGGUAACGGAGGCGCUCAAAGGUUCCCUCAGCCUGGUCGGCAACCAGGUGGCGAGUGUAAGUGCACAAGGGGGCUUGACUGUGAGACUGACGGGUCGAGCAGGUACGAAAGUAGGAACUAGUGAUCCGGCGGUGGCUUGUGGAAGCGCCGUCGCUCAACGGAUAAAAGGUACCCCGGGGAUAACAGGCUGAUCCUGCCCAAGAGUUCAUAUCGACGGCAUGGUUUGGCACCUCGAUGUCGGCUCGUCGCAUCCUGGGGCUGGAGUAGGUCCCAAGGGUUGGGCUGUUCGCCCAUUAAAGCGGUACGCGAGCUGGGUUCAGAACGUCGUGAGACAGUUCGGUCCCUAUCCGCUGCGCGCGUAGGAGAAUUGAGAAGGGCUGUCCCUAGUACGAGAGGACCGGGACGGACGAACCUCUGGUGUGCCAGUUGUUCCGCCAGGAGCACGGCUGGUUGGCUACGUUCGGGAGGGAUAACCGCUGAAAGCAUCUAAGCGGGAAGCCUGCUUCAAGAUAAGUUCUCCAUCCAGCCUGUGUGCUGGGUGAGGUCCCCCGCAGACGACGGGGUUGAUAGGCCGGACGUGGACGCCUCGUAAGGGGUGGAGCUGACCGGUACUAAUGGACCGACCGCCUACACC